AUACGAAGGGGGCUAGCGUUGUUCGGAAUUACUGGGCGUAAAGCGCGCGUAGGCGGAUUGGUCAGUUAGGGGUGAAAUCCCAGGGCUUAACCCUGGAACUGCCUCUAAUACUGCCAGUCUUGAGUUCGGGAGAGGUGAGUGGAAUUCCUAGUGUAGAGGUGAAAUUCGUAGAUAUUAGGAAGAACGCCAGUGGCGAAGGCGGCUCACUGGCCCGAUACUGACGCUGAGGCGCGAAAGCGUGGGGGGCAAACAGGAUUAGAAACCCUAGUAGUCC
RNAcentral lists this ribosomal RNA (274 nucleotides) under uncultured bacterium. Its description in RNAcentral is "partial 16S ribosomal RNA". It matches the Rfam family "Bacterial small subunit ribosomal RNA", at positions 523 to 796 of the family's 1533-position model. The record is from RNAcentral.